GCUGGCGGCGUGCCUAAUACAUGCAAGUCGAGCGAACGGACGAGAAGCUUGCUUCUCUGAUGUUAGCGGCGGACGGGUGAGUAACACGUGGAUAACCUACCUAUAAGACUGGGAUAACUUCGGGAAACCGGAGCUAAUACCGGAUAAUAUUUUGAACCGCAUGGUUCAAAAGUGAAAGACGGUCUUGCUGUCACUUAUAGAUGGAUCCGCGCUGCAUUAGCUAGUUGGUAAGGUAACGGCUUACCAAGGCAACGAUGCAUAGCCGACCUGAGAGGGUGAUCGGCCACACUGGAACUGAGACACGGUCCAGACUCCUACGGGAGGCAGCAGUAGGGAAUCUUCCGCAAUGGGCGAAAGCCUGACGGAGCAACGCCGCGUGAGUGAUGAAGGUCUUCGGAUCGUAAAACUCUGUUAUUAGGGAAGAACAUAUGUGUAAGUAACUGUGCUA
Molecule: ribosomal RNA, 448 nt
Filed under: Staphylococcus aureus
Lineage: Bacteria; Bacillati; Bacillota; Bacilli; Caryophanales; Staphylococcaceae
Description: bacterial SSU rRNA
Rfam family: Bacterial small subunit ribosomal RNA
Source: RNAcentral